RNAcentral lists this ribosomal RNA (508 nucleotides) under uncultured bacterium. Its description in RNAcentral is "partial 16S ribosomal RNA". It matches the Rfam family "Bacterial small subunit ribosomal RNA", at positions 28 to 523 of the family's 1533-position model. The record is from RNAcentral.
GAUGAACGCUAGCUACAGGCUUAACACAUGCAAGUCGAGGGGAAACGAUAUUGGAAGCUUGCUUCCGAUAGGCGUCGACCGGCGCACGGGUGAGUAACGCGUAUCAAACCUGCCCACCACUUGGGGAUAACCUUGCGAAAGUAAGACUAAUACCCAAUGAUGUCCAUAGAAGACAUCUGAAAUGGAUUAAAGAUUUAUCGGUGAUGGAUGGGGAUGCGUCUGAUUAGCUUGUUGGCGGGGUAACGGCCCACCAAGGCGACGAUCAGUAGGGGUUCUGAGAGGAAGGUCCCCCACAUUGGAACUGGGACACGGUCCAAACUCCUACGGGAGGCAGCAGUGAGGAAUAUUGGUCAAUGGGCGAGAGCCUGAACCAGCCAAGUAGCGUGCAGGAUGACGGCCCUAUGGGUUGUAAACUGCUUUUAUAAGGGAAUAAAGUGAGCCUCGUGAGGCUUUUUGCAUGUACCUUAUGAAUAAGGACCGGCUAAUUCCGUGCCAGCCGCCGCCGUAA